This is a non-coding RNA of Mycena leptocephala, 92 nucleotides long. The record is from the annotation of a GenBank genome assembly. NCBI's taxonomy places the organism in Eukaryota, Fungi, Basidiomycota, Agaricomycetes, Agaricales, Mycenaceae.
GCCUCCGUGGAUGAGCGGUAAUCACGUCAGCUUUGUACUGCAGAGCUAUCAAGAUAUAUGAGGAGUCGUGGGUUCGAAUCCCACCGGAGGCA